Molecule: ribosomal RNA, 253 nt
Filed under: uncultured bacterium
Lineage: Bacteria
Description: partial 16S ribosomal RNA
Rfam family: Bacterial small subunit ribosomal RNA
Source: RNAcentral
UACGGAGGGUGCAAGCGUUAUCCGGAUUCACUGGGUUUAAAGGGUGCGUAGGAGGGCAGGUAAGUCAGUGGUGAAAUCUCCAAGCUUAACUUGGAAACUGCCGUUGAUACUAUCUGUCUUGAAUACUGUGGAGGUGAGCGGAAUAUGUCAUGUAGCGGUGAAAUGCUUAGAUAUGACAUAGAACACCAAUUGCGAAGGCAGCUCACUACACAUAUAUUGACUCUGAGGCACGAAAGCGUGGGGAUCAAACAGG